GACGUAGGGCGCGAGCGUUGUCCGGAUUUAUUGGGCGUAAAGAGCUCGUAGGCGGCUCGGUGCGUCAACCGUGAAAACCCGGGGCUUAACUUCGGGCUUGCGGUUGAUACGGGCGGGCUGGAGUUCGGUAGGGGAGACUGGAAUUCCUGGUGUAGCGGUGAGAUGCGCAGAUAUCAGGAGGAACACCGGUGGCGAAGGCGGGUCUCUGGGCCGAUACUGACGCUGAGGAGCGAAAGCGUGGGGAGCGAACAGG
RNAcentral lists this ribosomal RNA (253 nucleotides) under uncultured bacterium. RNAcentral's name for it is "partial 16S ribosomal RNA". It matches the Rfam family "Bacterial small subunit ribosomal RNA", at positions 524 to 776 of the family's 1533-position model. The record is from RNAcentral.